Molecule: ribosomal RNA, 433 nt
Filed under: uncultured bacterium
Lineage: Bacteria
Description: partial 16S ribosomal RNA
Rfam family: Bacterial small subunit ribosomal RNA
Source: RNAcentral
AACGAACGCUGGCGGCAGGCUUAACACAUGCAAGUCGAACGCACCUUUCGGGGUGAGUGGCAGACGGGGGAGUAACGCGUGGGAAUCUACCCUUCUCUACGGGAUAGCUCCGGGAAACUGGAAUUAAUACCGUAUACGUCCCGAGGGUGAAAGAUUUAUCGGGGAAGGAUGAGCGCGCGUUGGAUUAGCUAGUUGGUGGGGUAAAGGCCUACCAAGGCGACGAUCCAUAGCUGGUCUAAGAGGAUGAUCAGCCACAUUGGGACUGAGACACGGCCCAAACUCCUACGGAAGGCAGGAGUGGGGAAUAUUGGACAAUGGGGGCAAGCCUGAUCCAGCCAUGCCGCGUGAGUGAUGAAGGCCCUAGGGUUGUAAAGCUCUUUCAGUGGGGACGAUAAUGACGGUACCCACAGAAGAAGCCCCGGCUAACUUCGUG